GAUCCUGGCUCAGGAUGAACGCUAGCUACAGGCUUAACACAUGCAAGUCGAGGGGCAGCAUGAACUUAGCUUGCUAAGUUUGAUGGCGACCGGCGCACGGGUGAGUAACACGUAUCCAACCUGCCGAUGACUCGGGGAUAGCCCUUCGAAAGAAAGAUUAAUACCCGAUGGCAUAGUUCUUCCGCAUGGUAGAACUAUUAAAGGAUUUCGGUCAUCGAUGGGGAUGCGUUCCAUUAGGUUGUUGGCGGGGUAACGGCCCACCAAGCCUUCGAUGGAUAGGGGUUCUGAGAGGAAGGUCCCCCACAUUGGAACUGAGACACGGUCCAAACUCCUACGGGAGGCAGCAGUGAGGAAUAUUGGUCAAUGGACGAGAGUCUGAACCAGCCAAGUAGCGUGAAGGAUGACUGCCCUAUGGGUUGUAAACUUCUUUUAUACGGGAAUAAAGUGAGGCACGUGUGCCUUUUUGUAUGUACCGUAUGAAUAAGGAUCGGCUAACUCCGUG
Molecule: ribosomal RNA, 502 nt
Filed under: uncultured bacterium
Lineage: Bacteria
Description: bacterial SSU rRNA
Rfam family: Bacterial small subunit ribosomal RNA
Source: RNAcentral